UGCCUGAGUUUAAGGCCUUCGCCUUUCUGC
RNAcentral lists this non-coding RNA (30 nucleotides) under Rattus norvegicus (Norway rat). Lineage: Eukaryota; Metazoa; Chordata; Mammalia; Rodentia; Muridae. The record is from RNAcentral.